CCCCGUGAACCUUUACUAUAGCUUGACACUGAACAUUGAGCCUUGAUGUGUAGGAUAGGUGGGAGGCUUUGAAGUGUGGACGCCAGUCUGCAUGGAGCCGACCUUGAAAUACCACCCUUUAAUGUUUGAUGUUCUAACGUGGACCCGUAAUCCGGGUUGCGGACAGUGUCUGGUGGGUAGUUUGACUGGGGCGGUCUCCUCCUAAAGAGUAACGGAGGAGCACGAAGGUUGGCUAAUCCUGGUCGGACAUCAGGAGGUUAGUGCAAUGGCAUAAGCCAGCUUGACUGCGAGCGUGACGGCGCGAGCAGGUGCGAAAGCAGGUCAUAGUGAUCCGGUGGUUCUGAAUGGAAGGGCCAUCGCUCAACGGAUAAAAGGUACUCCGGGGAUAACAGGCUGAUACCGCCCAAGAGUUCAUAUCGACGGCGGUGUUUGGCACCUCGAUGUCGGCUCAUCACAUCCUGGGGCUGAAGUAGGUCCCAAGGGUAUGGCUGUUCGCCAUUUAAAGUGGUACGCGAGCUGGGUUUAGAACGUCGUGAGACAGUUCGGUCCCUAUCUGCCGUGGGCGCUGGAGAACUGAGGGGGGCUGCUCCUAGUACGAGAGGACCGGAGUGGACGCAUCACUGGUGUUCGGGUUGUCAUGCCAAUGGCACUGCCCGGUAGCUAAAUGCGGAAGAGAUAAGUGCUGAAAGCAUCUAAGCACGAAACUUGCCCCGA
This 714-nucleotide ribosomal RNA is filed under the name Salmonella enterica. Its description in RNAcentral is "partial 23S ribosomal RNA". It matches the Rfam family "Bacterial large subunit ribosomal RNA", at positions 2089 to 2802 of the family's 2925-position model. Lineage: Bacteria; Pseudomonadati; Pseudomonadota; Gammaproteobacteria; Enterobacterales; Enterobacteriaceae. The record is from RNAcentral.